Anas platyrhynchos (mallard) is the source of this 1522-nucleotide non-coding RNA. Lineage: Eukaryota; Metazoa; Chordata; Aves; Anseriformes; Anatidae. The record is from RefSeq and is a predicted model, not a curated record.
CUCGCCUUCUCAUCCUGUAUUUUUCCACUGUCCUUUUGAAUUGCGUCCAAUUUGUUUCCAGCUUAACUUUAUUUUUUUUUCUUGCUUUGCUUCUUUCCCUUCUAAAAAUAUAAGGUAUAUAGCCUGAAAAUAUAGGGUUAUAUUUUAUGUAAGGGAGGAACAACACUUUGCAUGUCACAAUUACCUUUCGACAGAUACAGAUAACUGCCUGUCUGCUCCGAGGUGGCAUGAAAUUGCUGUGAACCACGUGGAAUAUUCCAUCAGAACGGUGCCAAUUUCCUCCUGCAGCCUCUCAGAAUAGCUGCCUCAUAAUACCGGACUCUGGUCCCGCUGGAAAUCGCUGCUGUCGUUUAGUGCUGGCUGUCAGCUUGUGCUGAAUACAUCAUCGUCAGGGCACCGACUGCUUCUGACAUGAUGCAGAUCUUCAUAAUGGCUGAGGUCUUAAUCUGCUGGCUCCUGCACGUGGAGAAGCCCAGGGCUGGGAACAACAAAACCUGGCCUGGAAAAGACUCGAUCAUCCUAAAGAAGAACUAGUUCUCAGCUAAAAUCUAAAGAGAUGGAGUAGAUGUGACGUGUAACAUCCAUGGGGACGCCCUGUUGAAGGCAGCUGGUAGCUCUCCUGCAGGACCACGGGAGCUUGGAGCAGAAGCUGGAUGCCUCCACAGCCUACAGGGGUUUGCUGUUUCUCUGGGUGUGAAGAGCAGGUUUGAUCUGGGAUGGUGCAAAUUAUCCGAAACACCAAAGCUUUGGCUUCCUAUCCCCUUCAAAUACUUUAUUUACUGAGAUUAUACAUAUAGUUUAUUGUGUACUGUAGUGAUUCUACCAAUACACAAAGCUGAACAUCUGAACGGGCUCCAGGGUAUCAUCUCUUAGGUUUAGGUUUCUUUAGGGGGGAGGUUGUCUUCUGCUGUCUCAGAUGGUGCCUCUUGUGUUUUUGGCCCAGCCUGGAUAGAGGCUAGCACAGGAGUGCGGGUGGCAAGUUUCUCUCCGUAGUGGGACCGGAUUUCAGUCAAGUUUUCAACUCUCAGAUACCCAGGUUUGACUUCUUAAUUUGUUCUCAUCACUUAUUCAGCUACAGACUUUAUCUGGAAAAUCCAGCACGUGCCAGGUUCUGUCAGAACCACCUACGCAGAAAUUGCUUGCUUUUCCUAAUAUAGUAUGAACGAGCUUUAAACAUCUGAACAUUUACUUAAAAGCUAAUACUUUGGCUGUUUUAAAACAAAGAGUCCUGCUCUAAUUUUAGCAGUGGAGCGGCUGUCCAGGAGCCCUCAGUAGGCACUGUCACUUCCUUGCAAUCUCUAGGUCACGCUGCCCAACGUGUACUGAGCUGGGCAUCUAGGAGCAUCCAAGUCCCCACAAAUGCUCCGUCUCAUAAAGCAGUUGUUUUUCACUAACUACUCUUUUCCAAAGUAGCACCGAUGAGAAAACUGGGAGAAGUGUUUCUUUAGCGUUGUUUGUAAUUAAAAAUAGCAACGCGGAUGGCCCAGCUCUUGCAAAGUGCAAGCCCACUUCUUUCAUUCAG